Chinchilla lanigera (long-tailed chinchilla) is the source of this 7950-nucleotide long non-coding RNA. RefSeq lists it as uncharacterized. The record is from RefSeq and is a predicted model, not a curated record. The transcript is spliced from 2 exons. NCBI's taxonomy places the organism in Eukaryota, Metazoa, Chordata, Mammalia, Rodentia, Chinchillidae.
GUGAGCUGGCUGGGAAGGCCAAGGCUCUGCGCCUCCCUCCCUCGCCUACCCAGCAUCCUCUGGGAGCUGUCGCCUUGGAGACAGCAGCUGUGCCCUGCUCUGUGCUGUCCUGUGACACGAGCCCUAUUGUGGAGACCACCUGGACUAUGACCAUGGUCCACGUCUGCGCGGCAAGGGAGGCUGGACAGGCCUUCUAGUUCCCUUCAGCUGGGCCAACUGUGGCAGGGCCUGAGUGGCCACCACCUUCCCGAGCACAGCCCAGGUCGGAGCUGGCCGCUGCCUGCCAGCCCCACCCAUGUGGAAAACUUUCCGUCUGUGGCUUCCCGCGUCCUCUGAGAAGUUUCUGGAGUGCAGAAGAGGCCACACGUGGUUCCCAGCCCAGCCAUUGCACAAGGACUUCCUAAGAGGCUCCAUGGUGCCUGCGUGUUAAUGCGAGCUGCAGGUCUGGGCCUGCCGACCUCGGAGCUGGAGGGCUUAGUGUUUCCUGGAGUGCAGGUGGGUCCAUCCUGGGGAGGCAGGGGCGUCCAGGGUGGCUUCAACCAGCUGGGAAUGGCAGGGGCUGCAGCUGGCUGCAGCAGCGGUGCUGUGGACAUGCUGGGGUGUGGAGGGAAUGUGUGUCCUGGGUGCCUGUAGGCAGGACGGAACAGGCAGAGUGUCACUGUGUUCCUUUACUGCGUAAGCUGGUUCCACGACCUUGGUCAACUGGCUCAACCCCGGAGGCCUAAGGUUCCUCAUGCAGAACAGGACCACAGUGGAGGCUGCCUCACAGUCUGGGAGGAUGGAAGGAGAAAGGUGUAUGAGUUCUGAGUUCUGGCCCUAGGUGGACUGCUGCUGUCUGCCCUUCACCAUGUCUGGCUAGUGCUGUCCUUGGCCUGUCACAUGGUAAAGCAGCUUCGGAGCCACCACAGUACCCUGAAGCACCUUUGUGCUACUUAGCAUCACCUUCCUGCUCUGGCUGCACAAACCGCAAGGACCUCUGAGCAGUCCCAGCCACACUCUGUGCUGCCGGAGGGCAGCCCACCAUCCUGAGCAUCUUCCGCACACUCGGCAUUACUGACCUUAAAUUCCGUGCGGACACGGCACAGCGUGGUGUUAGUGCGCCGGCUACAACUCAGCUGCAUUCAAGUCGAGACUCCCACACCCAUCUCACAGGAGGAGUCCCCCCUCUGUAGGCAGCUAGGACAGCUCACCCCAGCCUUCACCCCCAGAAGCAGCAAGCAUUUGGUACCUAGCAAAGCAACUUCGAGGGAUGCACCAUUGUCGAUGAAGACAGAGGUAUUCAGGUUGCCCAAACUCCUGGGAGGCUUGACUUGGACAGGGGCGAGCAGAAGGAUCUACUGAGCCUUCCAGGGAAGGCAUUCAGGGCAGCAGGAGACAGAUCGCAGGGACCUCGCCAAUGCCCUGAGACAGGCUGUCUGCAUCUAGUGACUGCUUGUGUGGCAGAAUGCGUUCUAAGGCUUGCUUUCACGCACAUCUGAGAGUGGGGUUGCGGUCACCUUCCUCUAGGUUGGCAGCAGCUGCAACCAACCAAAUAAAAUGACAGUGAUGACAGCACAACCAGCUGCGAGCAUCUGCCUGUGUGACCAAAGGGCAUGUGUGGUCAGUUCCUGCCUGCCUCAGGGUCCCCGGGGCUGCGAUGCUCCCAGGACCAGGCAUCCAGUUUCCUUUCUGAUUUGAUGAUGGAUGAGGCAGAGCCAGGCUCUGAGUGGCCUCGCAGCCACGGCCUGCAUCCAGGACCUUCCGGUGGCCAUUUCCAGCCUGACUCAGAGGCACUGCCGGCUUCCUGGGAUGAGGACGUGCUCUCCAGCUUUGCAGAAGCCCGGGACGGUGGCCACCAUGGAGGCCAUCAUCUGGGGCUAUGCACACCUGCUUUUCUGCCUGGAAAAUGAGCCUGGACAAGCGUUUGCUUGUGCCAAGGGAUGUACCAUGAGGGAGCCAAGGGGAGCCACUGCCGGUUCCCACAUCUGCAGCAGGUACCUGGCAAGGAUUAAGAGGGUGCUCAAUUUGUGACUUCACGGAGAGAAACUGAACCCCACCUGCCGAGGCUGCUGGGGAAGAGGUGACACCGGCUGGGCUGGGACUCUGGAGAGUCCUCUGUGGGGUGGGUCAGGCAGGAGAAGACCCAGUGCAGGCACUCCCAGGAGGAGCUCGGGGGCCAGAGGGCCCGGGGCCAGAGCUGCCCCAGAGCAGAGGACCUUUCUCCUUGCACGGGAACCAGAGGAGCGGUGCUGUGGACGGAGGUGAGGGUCUGGAGUGGCAGGGAAGAAAGCGGGCAGGGUGGGGCAGCACAGCCUCUGACUCCUCUUGCUGUUCCUCCCACUCCUUGUCUGAGCUUUCUUCUGGAGAGAGAGGCGGGGGAGGGAGGGCUGGACUCCAGUGGACAGGACACUUGGCCCAGCCAAGGAAACGCCGAGGUUUGCAGUCUUCCGGACUCCUCUGCAGCGGCUGGGACGCCAGGCUCCCACAGGUCUGCUCCAGCUCGCUCCUCCCCGCCAGCCCAUCCUGCCUGCUCCCUGUGCCCCUGCUCUGCCAGCUGUCCCCACCCUCCCCGCUCACCCCUGCAAGCACCAGGUGCCCACACAUCAGAGCCACCCCAGCGACUCCUGAGGGAUGCCUAUAAGUGGCUCUCGAGGACUCCCCAUCCCCACGGCCAACGGAUGAUCGGUCAUCUUCCACCUUGGCAAGCUGCUCAGGGUCCCAGUCAAGUGAAGAGCCAUCCUGUGGCAGAGCACAGCUCCAGGAGCCUGGGCUGUCCCUGGGUCCCUGGUUAUUGUCCACUAGCAAGAUCUACCUGGUGUGACUAGGUACUGACCGCCAGCUGUUCCCUCCCUGCCUGGGUUGCAUGGGUCUCGAGAUUUAUUUACACCCCCCGGAGGGCAGCCGAGCUAGCAGAGAGGGCAGCAGGGACUGGUCACUCAGCGAAUCCAUGCAUGCAAACGGGAGGAUGAGGACGGGAGCAAGGGCACAGCGUCUGGGCUCUCGGGUCAGCAAGGAGGAGCCUUCUGAAGCUGGCCAAACCCUCCAGACUGGACGUAACAAACGUCUGCUGCCUCCACUGCAUCCCUGAAGCUGGCAGGGGACCUUCUUUGGUCACAGGAUGAGCCCAGAACACUUCUCAUUUCAUCUGGAUGUGACUGGCUUCUCUCCCUUCUCUGGACAAGGGAACCCCUCGGAUUCCCUACGACAGCGCUCCUUUGACAGUGCUGCUUCAGGAGUCUGGGGAGGCAGGCAUGUGAAUCUCUGCUCUUUCACCAGCUGCGUGAGCUGCACCCACUGGCUUAACCUCUGACUUCCUCUGACCACACUGUCACACCACUGAACCCUGCAGGCUGGUCACGAGCCUAAGGCGACUGCAGGCGUGAAGGGGUCCCGGCAGGGCGUGACUGGCAGCAGCACUCAGCAAACAGAUGCAGGAAGAACGGCUCGAGGCUGCUUUGCCAGGCCCCGAAACCACGGCGGCAGGAGCCCCCACCCUGUGGAUGCAGUCAGGCUACAGGUGCCGUCACCUGGGCUUCCCCGGGACCAUGCCAGCCCUUCCUGAGCAGGACGCCUGUCCCUGGGGCAUGGAAAGGAAGCUGCUUUGGAGCCACGACUCCCCUGGGCACCGUGGGGAUAGCCCUGUGCGUGGGGACCGUCUCACCGUCUGGGAUUUUCGGGAUGACAGGGAGUGUGUAGCAGCUUGGUUCAGGAGAAUCUGCUGCGGGUGAGCCAGCACCAGCCCCUGCCACCGGGGGCCACCUACCUCCAGGUCUUCCCAGCAAGACAGGAAGCACCUGAUGCAGUGCCAAGGGCUUUGCAAAAAAGCACUACGUCCACCUGACUUGGUUGAAGGAGACCCUCGCUCUUGCGGUCGUGGCCCCUCCGCCCGCCCGCUGACCCUGGUGCGCGGCUACAUGGCUGACCUGUCUUUUCCGUGAGGGCCUUGGGCGCACGGCCCCUCCCACCCCGGCUUCAGCCGAUAGGGGAACCGUGGGGGGCCAUGCCCUGGGUCACUUGAGCUGUGACUGCAGUCUUGGGGUCUGGAACUUCGAGGGGGCCAAGCCCGAGUGAAGGAGACAGGCGGGCGUGGAGGUCACGGCUGACCUGGGCAGUCUGUGUCAGCCCCUCUGACCCCAAACGCCCACCCAGAUUCUCAGCCCUGGAGUGGAGAGGCCAGCAGGGUGCUGAGACCGGGAUGGAGCGCAGCGCAGCCGCCCGUCCGGGGGAGGGGUGCGAGCCCGGAGCAGGUGCCUGGGACCCUCCCCGGCCUCCUCCCGGCCCAGGGCGUGAACCCACCUUCGGCGCGGGAGGCGUCCGCGCGGUCGCGCCGGCGCUGGCGCUGGCGCUGGCGCCUGGUCCCCGCCGCCUGCUCUGCCCGGCGCUGGCGGCUCCCGCCUCCCGUGGAUCCUCGGCACUGUUCUUUUGAAGGGACGUGGUUUUCUCUGCGUUGCGUCAGGGCGGUUGCCUGGAGACGCAGCGCUCUCGCGCCCGCCUUUGCGCGUCGUCGCGGCCUCUUCAGGCCGGGCCCGGGUCCGAGCGCGCGGGUCCUAGAGCCCCCCGAGUUCGCCUCCCGGCGCACAGCGGGCCGGCCGCAGGCCGACCGACCCCAGAAAAAAACGAACCCAAACAUCCAUUUUUCAUGAAGCCCAAACCCCACUUUCCCAGAAAAAAAAAAAAAAACCAGCAGAGCUGUGUGGCUCUGUCAUUGUCAGCGCUCCGCCUGCGUGGAGGGGACAGGAACCCCACGCCCCAGCCUGAGCCCCAUGCUCCACCCACGGAGGCUUGGGCUGUCGCCAAGCCUGAGGCCUGGCAGCGACUCCGUGGGGCAAGGGUCCAUCACUGCUGGCCCCGGGGAAUCCAGAGCUGCAGGCACCCAGGACACAGAGGACGGCAGCUGGGGCUGGGGCAUAUCUUUGGGGGGUACAGUCCGAAGAUAUCUCUGCGGGGUACAGUCUGGCUGCAGCAAGGGCGUCCUGCCCCGCUCCCCACUCCCCAGACCUUCAGGCCUCGAGGAAGGUGGUCUCCUCCUCCCAGACCUCGCCAAGCCCGGUUCCUACCUGCCUGGGACAGAAGGGUCCCCCAGAGUUAACCUGUCGAUCUUCCUCUCUCUUUCCCUCCUGCCCUGCAGGCGUCCUCUGCCCCUUGCUCAUGUUGGUGUCCUUUGGGGGCUGCUUGCCCUCACCGCUGAGCUAGAGGACACUGCAGGGAUGACCUCCACCUCGACCUUCACCUCUGGACACAUCCCCAUCUCCACCCACCACUGUCUCGGCUCUGGAUGGGCCAGGCUGGGGUUUGUGAAUAUGGACAGCUGCGUGUGCAAACCGCAAAGUAACGACUUGGUUCCCUCCAUCCCUCGAGCUCCUUAGCUCCUGGUGAAGCCCCUGCAGUGUAGGUAGACAGGUGUGAGCUGAGACUGCUGAACCACAUCAGAAAAAUCGGCUCAGGGAUGCUGCGUAGCCUAUUUCGGGGGUGCUGGAAGAGACGAAGGGGCGCUGCAUGAAAACACAGGAGGAUGGAGCCCACUUCCCAGGGCAGAAGACCUGGGGCCCAGCCAGGGCCCUGGCAUGGUCACUACUCAGCAGAGCACUUUGGCUGCUGCUCUUUGGAAUGUCCCUGGAGACCCUCCCUGCCCUGUGUAGAGCCCCCAGGGGUGGGUGUGGCCGUUCCCUCCCCCUGCCACCGUCAACCGGACCUGGUCUCCUUGCAGCCACACUAAGACAAACAGGGUAAACUCUGCCCUUUACUUUCAAGGCGUUAAAAUUAAAACUCAAAGUGCCCACCCUGCCUUUUAGAGUUUUCCCAGAUUCACUUCUCUGCCCGCACAAUAAGUAUCAACUAGCACCUGUUAAAUAGCAGACAGUGUUCUAGGCUCUUAGGGAACAACUGCAAUAAAGGCCUUUGCCUGGGAGUGCUAAUAUCCCAUUGGGGGAAGCGAGGUCCUGGUAAAUUAGCAAUAUCAUCAGUUACAGAGAGCAAAACUGGAGGCCUGGACUGAAAAGCAAUGGCGUGUGUAUGUGGCAGUGGGGGCGGGGCUGACCUCGUUAGUAAGGUGGUUUCAGAGCAAAGAUUUUGGAUGAGGGAGCAGGGGGAGGGGCCCCAGGCGAGAGCAGUCAGUGCAAAGGCCCCUAGGCAGCAAAUGUGGAGCAGGGGUGGGGAAGGCUGUGGGAGAUGAUGUCAAGACAGAGGGGGGGCCUUGCUGACCCCCAGGAGGCCUCCCCUUUCCCAAAGAACCAGAGUGCACAGCUGGAUCUAGGGACUCACUGGCCUCUCAGGUACCCCAGGGAGGAACAGGGUGGUGGGAAUGAGGAAAAGAUGGACAAGAGACAAGAGCUGGGUCAGGGGGAGAUCCCCUCUCUCCUAAGCAGAGGAGAGGAACACCCAAGAACAGUAGAGCGUUUAUUUGUGCCCUGGAGAUGUCUAUAUUAAUUUCAACCUCUCUACCCAAUAAUCCGUUAAGAAGCUGCAACAGCUUGUUUAUGUGCUUCGAGGAGCUCCCGUGUUCUCGGACUGGCUUCGUCCCACAGGCGUAAGUACUUUCCAGCUUCAGCCGCUCCCAACAGCUGCACAGCAUCUCUGCUCUCUUGCACUCGAAGGGCACAAAGUUCCCCACAUUCCACUCUCUGAUCCCCAUUUAUGGGCGGCAGCUGCUGCAGGAAACUCCAUGUCUGUGUCCCCGUCAUUCACCUCGCCCUGCACUGGCGGUUUGAGCCAUGCUCACUGCAUGAGAAAGAGAUGACAUUUCUGUUUGGCUUUAUGAUCUAGAGGACACUGGGAGGCUGGGGGUGCCACCCUGCCCCGCUCCAGAGGGCCUUUAGGACUCAAAGGCGAGGUCGGAGUCCACCAGCUUCUGCCAUCUGCCCAGGAAAGGACUUUUCCACGGGGCCAAGGGGCAGUGGUGUGGGUUUCCAGAGGAACCGGGGAGCGUUGUCAGGUGGAUUUAGCCACCAGGGCGCUUCCCUGCUCUUACGUCUCAGAAGAGGUGGACCCGCCAUGCGGAUGGCUCUCCAACCUGCAAGGAGCCCAUGGGGUCCCUUUAGGUGCCCGUCCCUCUGAGCUGCCAGCCCAGGAGAGGCGUGGGGAUUAUGUAUUUUCUUAGUGGGAAGCUAGCUAGCUGAGCGUCCACCUAGGUCCUGGGGUGUCACCGCCACCAGGGCCCAGGUGAGGAGGAAGAGCAGGCUCCGGCAGGGACCCUGAGGGCGGGGAGGCUGUGGAGGAAGCCCGGCUUGGAAGACCAGCGCCCUCAGCCUGCGCGGCGGGGCGUCCCGUGCCGAAGUCGGAGUGGAGGGCUCGAGGCAGCGGCCAGGGGCCAGAUGGGAUCCUGCGGACCGCGGUGGAGGUGCCUCACGGAAACAGGGCUCGCUGCAUUUCCCAGAGAACCACGAUGGGAAGGAACGAAUGGGGACAGCCGGUGGCGGAGGGAAUCAGCAGGGGGCUGCGGUCAGGCAGCCCAGGGUCAAGCCCUGCGCAGCUGCUGAUCACUGUGCCUGCAGCAGUCACUUCAGCAGUGCAGCCACUUCAUGUACGCAGUGGGAAUCAUUCUUUCAGCACUGAGCUGCAAAGGCCACGGGGCAUCCCUGGCCUGCACGGGGAUGUAGGGUGCCUCGCUUUGGGCCUCCUCCGGGUCGGUGGCUGUGGUUCCCGGGACUUCUCCCUCAGUCCACAACCCCUUCUGCUCUGAUACCAGACCCAGGAAUUUGCAGACCAGUGGUCCACGCUGGGGCCUGAGCAGCCUCUUCCUGCCCUAUGAGGUUUGGGUGGAGGCUGAACUGUCAGACUGGCGGGCCCUUUCCCUUGGUACUGGUUCUUGGGGUGAGAGAAGAAGAGGGGGCCCGGGGUGGGGGCUGAGACCGACUCCCCACGCCCCACCGAGUUCCUGGAGUCCAAGGGUGUGAGCUCAGAGCCCGACCUUGAGGUUGCUAUAAGGGUAUAUUUGCACAGGCAGGAGGGAAGAAUAAACCUUAUUUCACAGUU